Molecule: long non-coding RNA, 2696 nt
Filed under: Salmo salar (Atlantic salmon)
Lineage: Eukaryota; Metazoa; Chordata; Actinopteri; Salmoniformes; Salmonidae
Description: lncRNA (ENSSSAG00000106029.1, ENSSSAG00000115417.1)
Source: RNAcentral
GGAAGCGGCGCAGGUCCUAAUCCAGGCACUUGUCAUCUCCCGUCUGGAUUACUGAAACUCGCUGUUGGCUGGGCUCCCUGGAUGUGCCAUUAAACCCCUACAACUCAUCCAGAACGCCGCAGCCCGUCUGGUGUUCAACCUUCCCAAGUUCUCUCACGUCACCCCGUUCCUCCGCACACUCCACUGGCUUCCAGUUGAAGCUCGCAUCUGCUACAAGACCAUGGUGCUUGCCUACGGAGCUGUGAGGGGAACGGCACCUCCGUACCUUCAGGCUCUGAUCAGUCCCUACACCCAAAGAAGGGUACUGCGUUCAUCCACCUCUGGCCUGCUCGCCUCCCUACCUCUGCGGAAGCACAGUUCCCGCUCUGCCCAGUCAAAACUGUUCGCUGCUCUGGCACCCCAAUUGUGGAACAAGCUCCCUCACGAUGCCAGGACAGCGGUGUCAAUCACCACCUUCCGGAGACACGCGAAACCCCACCUCUUUAACCUCUAGGGGCUAGGGGGCAGUAUUUUCACGGCCGGAUGAAAAACGUACCCAAUUUAAACAGGUUACUACUCUGGCCCAGAAAACAGAAUAUGCAUAUUAUUAGUAGAUUUGAAUAGAAAACACUCUGAAGUUUCUAAAACUGUUUGAAUGGUGUCUGUGAGUAUAACAGAACUCAUAUGGCAGGCAAAAAACCUGAGAAAAAUUGAAUCAGUGAAUCCCUUGGAAAACUACAGUGACGUAGGAUUUACGUUACACCUCCUAACUCUUCCAUUGGCUGUCAACAAUCUUUAUGAACAGGUUUCAACCGUCAUCUGUUACCGGGCAGAUCGUUUUGGAUCAGUCAAUCAUUGGCCAGUCUGAGGAGAGGUGUCUUAUGAUGCCCGUACACGUGACGUUAUCGGUUUUAUAUUUUUCUUCUGGGAUGAAUAGCUAUUGCCCGGUUGUAAAAUGAUCGCAAUUUUACGUUAAAAAAAUACCCUAAAGGAUUGAUUGUAAACAUCGUUUGACGUGUUUCUACAAACAGUAAUGGAACUUUGAACAUUUCGUCUAUGGAUUUGCGUCCACGCCACAUAGCAAUGUAAAGUGUUCUGGAUGGGUCAACAAAAUGGACGUAUUUGGACAUAAAUGAUAGACUUUGCAGAACAAAUGAACAUUUCUUGUGGAAUUGGGUGCCCAUCCGAGUGCAUUCUGCCGAAGAUCAAAGGGAGGGCAUGACUGUGUAUCUGAAGCAGUUGAUCAUUGAACAUCACACACUCUUCAAACAGUUGUACCCACAUAAAAACAUAAUACCCAAACAUCACUUUAUGAUACAUUACCCAGCAUGCAAAAGACAAAUCGAUCCUUUCUUACGCACAGUAUGUGGAGCAUGAGGUUUGAGGCAAAGCACAAACUCUUUAAGAGCUCGAUAGUCAAUACAUGGGCGCAGACCCCACUCUUUCUUCUUCACAAAAAAGAAACUCGAGGAGGCAGGUGAAGUAGAGGACUGAAUGUACCCCUGACGCAGGGAUUCGGAGACAUAAGUUUCCAUAGCCACCGUCUCCACCUGUGAGAGGGGAUACACGUGACUCCUGGGAAGUGCAGCGUCUACCAGGAGAUUUACCGGACCAUGCCCCCCGACGAUGGGGUGGUAAUUGAGUCGCCUUCUUUUUGGAGAAGGCGAGAGCCAAAUCGGAAGUAUUCGGGGGGAAUGUGCACGGUGGAGACCUGGUCUGGACUUUCCACCGUAGUAGCACCAACGGAAACCCCUAAACACCUCCCCGAUCACUCUCGCGAACACCCCGUGAGAGCCCUCCGUUGCCAUGAAACAGUGGGGUCAUGACAGGCUAACCAGUGUAGGCCUAGCACCACGGGAAACACAGGAGAGUCAAUGAGGAAGAGACUGAUUCUCUCCUUGUGACCCCCCUGCGUCACCAUGCCCAGAGGACCGGUGGCCUCCCUAAACAACCCUGACCCUAAUGGUCGACUGUCUAAGGCGUGAACUGGGAAGGGCAUAGCCACUGGAACAAUGGGGAUCCCUAAACUAUGGGCGAAUGAUCUGUCUAUGAAAUUCCCAGCUGUGCCUGAAUCGACGAGCGCCUUAUGCGGGGAAAACUCAGGAAAAGUAACAUACAAAAACAGGUGUGCAACAGAGGGCUCUGGGUGAGAAUGUUGCCGGCUUACCUGGGGUGAUGCCAGAGUGCCCUGCCUGCUGCCUCGACCCCCAGAGGAACUAACACGACACCGACCGGCAGUGUGACCUCUGCGGCCACAGAUGGUGCACGUGAAGGAACCUCCUCCGGUGUGCAGCACCUCCCAGCUCCAUGGGUAUUGGAGCAGUAGUGCUGGGGGAUGAAACCGAAAGGUCCAGCUCUGAACGUCCGCGGAUAGCCAGCAGGUUAUCCAGCUGAAUGGACAGGUCCACCAGCUUGUCAAAAGUGAGGGUGGUGUCCCUACAAGCCAACUCCCAACGGACGUCCUCACGCAAACUGCAGCGAUAGUGGUCGAUCAGGGCCCUGUCGUUCCAUCCCGCACUGGCGGCCAGGGUCCAAAAGUCAAUCGCGAACUCCUGCGCGCACCUCGUCCCCUGCCUCAGGUGGAAAAGACGUUCAGGUGGAAAAGACGCGGGUGAAAUCCACACAGCGUUGGCCCACUCCAAGGCUUUCCAAGAGAGGCACGAGACGAGGACGGACACCCUCUCACGGCCCGAGGGAGCCGGGUGGACGGUCGCCAG